ACAUCAUUUCUGCUCGGGUGCAGUGUGGCGUCGGUCAUACCAUAUCCUCGCGGUACCGUGACAAGAUGGUGGCGGCAAGGAGGUGCCGUGUGUGUCACAUCCGGUUGACCGGCGGCUAUCACUGGAACAUCGCACUGGAGAGGCUAACAGAGUCCAUCCGGGUGCCGUGCGCCAACACCGCCCACGGCUGCACUGCCACGCCGGCCUACUACGACCACCCCGACCACCUCAAGGCGUGCCCUCACGAUGCCAUGCUAUUGCCCGCAGGCAGACUGCGGUUUCGCUAGCUCCACGGCGGCACUCCUGGACCACUUUGCCCACACGCAUGGGUGGCCGUGCAUGAACGAGCUUGGGCCUGGGCGUGCGUCGAGGUCCAGCUCUGUGACGGCUUCAACGCCUUCUCAGCCCGUGCCCAAUGCCGGCAGUACCUGUUCCUGCUGAACGUGGCGUUGAACCCGUUUGGCCGAGCGGUCUCCGUGCUCUCCCUGCAUCCUCGGGCGUUGUCGGCGGCGCCAUGUUCUUUGGAGUUCGAGGUAAGACUCAGGUACUGCUGCAACAUCAACCACCGUGGCGACACCAGGAAACUACGUUUAAAGUAGGGUGCACUGAUCUCUCUGAACUCAGAUUUAUGACAAGGACACAAGCAAAUUUAUAGCAUCCGUUGUGAUGAUACAAGGGAAGUAAGCAUAGAUGCGCUCAACGUGAUGAUAGAUGGGAGAGCUCGGCCUAUGCUGCCAACUGAUCUGCAGUGGUGCAGAAGGAGAUUUCAAAAGCAGGGCAAGCGAGAGCGACUGUUCUAUUGAUGGUCAAAGGGAGGGCUUGGCAAGAGAGAUUGAGGGAGCUCUACUACCUCGAUCUUGGCAUAGAACCUGAUGGCAUCAUGCCCAGGAAACUUCCUUCUUCAGUAUGUAUGGGGAUUUAUAUGACACCAAAAGAGAAGUCCGGCGUGUUUCUUGGUUCUAUGGAACCCCUCGACCGGAAGCAAAUAGAUCACAUCGCAAGUUGCUUGCCCAAUAUAAUCGUGCCGCAAGUUACCAACAUCGCGUGCUUAUACACCAUCGACUUUGCUGGAAAUCUAUCUGUCCGUGCUCCACCGUCUGUCGGAACUUCUUCUGCCCAUGCUACACCUGAGGUACAUACUACAGUCUCAUCAAUUAAUAAUACCCAAUUGCUUGUCUGUUG
Triticum urartu is the source of this 1182-nucleotide non-coding RNA. The record is from RefSeq and is a predicted model, not a curated record. Lineage: Eukaryota; Viridiplantae; Streptophyta; Magnoliopsida; Poales; Poaceae.